Molecule: long non-coding RNA, 234 nt
Filed under: Elaeis guineensis (African oil palm)
Lineage: Eukaryota; Viridiplantae; Streptophyta; Magnoliopsida; Arecales; Arecaceae
Description: long non-coding RNA (EGUI_LNC044577)
Source: RNAcentral
UAGCCAUAUUUUGGUAGGUAUCGAAGAGUGCAUCUGACAUCCCAUUCAGAAUAUGUCCUCUACAUAUGUAGUCAUCAUUAUCCCACUGUUGUUGAGUACGGACUUCUACCAUAGUUUCAUCAUCGCUCUCUUCUGAUCUUAGUGUACUGAGGACAUAGACAACUUUGAGAGUCAUAGGAGGAAGUGCAUCUUCUUUUGCCAUCUCAAAAAGAUUUCUCCUUUAAAGUGCUCUAA